This is a non-coding RNA of Acanthosepion pharaonis, 114 nucleotides long. The record is from the annotation of a GenBank genome assembly. Lineage: Eukaryota; Metazoa; Mollusca; Cephalopoda; Sepiida; Sepiidae.
UUACGGCCAUAUAGCGUAAAAACACCGGUUCCCGUACGAUCACCGAAGUUAAGCAAUGUCGAGUCUGGCCAGUACCUAGAUAGGUGACCGAGUGGAAAUAUCAGGUGCUGUAAG